ACUCCCCCUAGGGGGAGUCAAAUCCUACCAAAUCCUGACGAACUCCGAAUGCCAACAUAUAGAACCGGCAGUGAGGGCUGGGGUGCUAAGGUCCCAGUCCGAGAGGGAAAGAACCCAGACCUUCCGCUAAGGUCCCCAAAUUUAGGUUAAGUUGAACAAAGGUGGUCCAGUUGCAGAGACAGCCAGGAGGUUAGCUUGGAAGCAGCUAUUCCUUUAAAGAGUGCGUAACAGCUCACUGGUCGAGCGACAGGGCGUCGAUAAUAAUCGGGCAUCAAACCUAAUACCGAAGCGAAGGAUUGCAGCAAUGCAGUGGUAGGGGAGCAUUCCAAAGACGGCGAAGGUAUCUCGUAAGGGGUGCUGGAGACUUUGGAAAAGCAAAUGUAGGCAUAAGUAACGAUAAGGCGGGCGAGAAACCCGCCCACCGUAAGACCCAGGUUUCCUGAUCAACGUUAAUCGGAUCAGGGUUAGUCGGGGCCUAAGGCGAACCCGAAUGGGGUAGUCGAUGGACAAUGGGUUAAUAUUCCCAUACUAUUUAUACAGGUGAUGGAGUGACGGAGUGAUGAAAGAUCCGCCCGGUGACGGAAUACCGGGUUAAAGCGAGUAGGUAUUAGUUCCGUAGUUAAAUGCGCUGGACUAGCCGAACGUGAUAGUACCGAGCGUCUUCGGACAAUUGGAUAGUGAUCCUAAGGGCUUCCAAGAAAAACUUCUAGCGUUAAGCGUAUAGAUACCCGUACCGCAAACCGACACAGGUGGUCGAGGAGAGAAUCCUAAGGUGCUCGAGUGAAUCAUGGCUAAGGAACUCGGCAAAAUGACCCCGUAACUUCGGGAGAAGGGGUUCCCACGCAAGUGGGACGCAGUGAAAAGGCCCAGGCGACUGUUUAACAAAAACACAUGGCUUUGCAAAAUCGAAAGAUGAAGUAUAAGGCCUGACACCUGCCCGGUGCUGGAAGGUUAAGAGGAGAUGUUAGUUUCGGCGAAGCAUUGAAUUGAAGCCCCAGUAAACGGCGGCCGUAACUAUAACGGUCCUAAGGUAGCGAAAUUCCUUGUCGGGUAAGUUCCGACCUGCACGAAUGGUGUAACGAUCUGGGUACUGUCUCAGCCAUGAGCUCGGUGAAAUUGUAGUAUCGGUGAAGAUGCCGAUUACCCGCAACGGGACGAAAAGACCCCGUGAACCUUUACUAUAGCUUCACAUUGACAUUGGGUAAUUCAUGUGUAGGAUAGGUGGGAGACGUUGAGGCUGCAUCGCCAGGUGUAGUUUAGUCGUCCUUGAAAUACCACCCUUGAAUUAUCUGAUGUCUAAUCCGCUAAAGUCGGAGACAUUGUGUGGUGGGUAGUUUGACUGGGGUGGUCGCCUCCAAAAGAGUAACGGAGGCUCCUAAAGGUACCCUCAGCACGCUUGGUAACCGUGCGUAGAGUGUAAUGGCAUAAGGGUGCUUGACUGAGAGACCGACAAGUCGAUCAGGUAGGAAACUAGAGCAUAGUGAUCCGGUGGUUCCGCAUGGAAGGGCCAUCGCUCAAAGGAUAAAAGGUACUCCGGGGAUAACAGGCUGAUCACUCCCAAGAGCUCACAUCGACGGAGUGGUUUGGCACCUCGAUGUCGGCUCGUCACAUCCUGGGGCUGGAGAAGGUCCCAAGGGUUCGGCUGUUCGCCGAUUAAAGUGGCACGCGAGCUGGGUUCAGAACGUCGUGAGACAGUUCGGUCCCUAUCUGUGAUGGGCGUUAGAGAUUUGAGGGGCGCUGACUCUAGUACGAGAGGACCGAGUCGGACGUACCGCUAGUGUACCAGUUGUAGCGCCAGCUGCACCGCUGGGUAGCUAUGUACGGAUGAGAUAAGCGCUGAAAGCAUCUAAGUGCGAAACUCACCUCAAGAUAAGAUCUCUUUAUAAGGGUUGU
This 1893-nucleotide ribosomal RNA is filed under the name marine metagenome. Its description in RNAcentral is "bacterial LSU rRNA". It matches the Rfam family "Bacterial large subunit ribosomal RNA", at positions 909 to 2838 of the family's 2925-position model. The record is from RNAcentral.